This is an RNA transcript of Mus musculus (house mouse), 7231 nucleotides long. It is a transcript of the gene named leucine-rich repeats and immunoglobulin-like domains 2, with no coding region annotated. The record is from RefSeq and is marked validated. The transcript has 18 exons. Lineage: Eukaryota; Metazoa; Chordata; Mammalia; Rodentia; Muridae.
CUGCUGAGCGUGAGUACGUUGCGUCGCGGGGCGGGGCGGACGAGCGGUGUCUGUCAGGGUUUCAGCUCUACGCCCCCGACCGCCGCCCCCUCCCCUGCGGUAGCGUCGUUUCCUCCUCUCGCCCGCUCUGAGAGGGGACAAGUGACAGCCCGGGCUCCGGGUGGCGGUUUAGCCUCCGGGCAUCUCUCCUCAGCCGACUCUCUGAGCUAGCUGCUGUUCUCGAGCGGGUCCCGGCCAGGGGAAGAUGGCGGCCGCGCCCCGCGGCAUCUGGGAGCAGCGGCGCCUGGGCUGUGGGUUGGGACCCCUCGCACGGUUGCUCAUCCUUGCGCAGGCGCUGCGGCUGCUGCCCGCUGCCCGAGCCGGCCUGUGCCCGGCGCCCUGCGCCUGCCGUCUUCCUCUGCUGGACUGCAGUCGCAGGAAGCUGCCCGCGCCCAGCUGGAGGGCACUGUCGGGCCCGCUGCCCUCCGACAUCUCCAGCCUGGAUUUGAGUCAUAACCGGUUGUCUAACUGGAACAACACCUUGGAAUCACAAACAUUACAAGAAGUGAAAAUGAAUUACAAUGAGCUAACAGAGAUACCAUAUUUUGGAGAACCAACACCUAAUAUUACUCUACUUUCAUUGGUGCAUAAUUUAAUCCCAGAAAUAAAUGCAGAAGCAUUCGAGCUUUAUUCUGCUCUUGAGAGUUUAGACCUCAGUUCCAAUAUAAUAUCAGAAAUCAAGACAUCUUCAUUUCCUCGAAUGUCACUGAAAUACCUGAAUUUGAGCAAUAAUAGGAUAAGCACCUUGGAGGCUGGCUGCUUUGACAACUUAUCAGAUUCUUUAUUAGUGGUAAAACUGAACCGGAACCGAAUUAGCAUGAUUCCACCCAAGGUCUUCAAGCUGCCUCAUCUCCAGUUCUUGGAACUGAAAAGAAACAGGAUUAAAAUUGUAGAAGGCCUUACCUUCCAAGGGCUUGAUUCUUUACGCUCAUUGAAAAUGCAGCGGAAUGGAAUUAGCAAACUCAAAGAUGGAGCAUUUUUUGGCUUGAAUAAUAUGGAAGAAUUAGAACUGGAACAUAAUAACCUUACAGGAGUGAACAAGGGGUGGCUAUAUGGCUUGCGAAUGUUACAGCAACUGUAUAUGAGCCAGAAUGCUAUUGAAAAAAUCAGCCCCGAUGCAUGGGAGUUCUGCCAGAGACUGUCUGAACUGGAUUUGUCCUAUAACCAGCUGACCCGCCUUGAUGAAUCUGCCUUUGUGGGUCUGAGCUUACUGGAGAGAUUGAAUUUAGGGGACAAUAGAGUCACUCACAUUGCUGAUGGUGUAUUUAGGUUUCUUUCCAAUCUUCAGACAUUAGAUUUGAGAAACAAUGACAUUUCAUGGGCCAUAGAAGAUGCUAGCGAAGCCUUUUCUGGACUCAAAAGUCUCACUAAGUUAAUCUUGCAAGGAAACCGGAUUAAGUCAGUUACACAGAAAGCAUUCAUUGGCCUUGAGUCCCUUGAGUAUCUAGAUUUGAACAACAAUGCUAUAAUGUCUAUCCAAGAAAAUGCUUUUUCUCAGACUCACUUAAAGGGACUUGUUCUGAACACAAGCAGUUUGCUCUGCGAUUGUCAUUUGAAGUGGUUACUUCAGUGGCUGGUGGAUAACAAUUUCCAUCAUUCUGUGAAUGUAAGCUGUGCACAUCCUGAAUGGUUAGCGGGGCAAAGCAUCUUGAAUGUGGACCUGAAAGAUUUUGUCUGUGAUGAUUUUCUGAAGCCUCAGAUAAGGACACACCCUGAAAGCACAAUUGCAUUAAGAGGUGUUAAUGUGACACUGACGUGCACUGCAGUGAGCAGCAGCGAUUCACCCAUGUCCACCAUAUGGCGCAAGGACAGUGAGAUCCUGUAUGAUGUGGAUAUUGAGAAUUUUGUUCGUUAUCGGCAGCAGGAUGGAGAAGCUCUAGAAUAUACUAGUGUCUUGCGCCUCUUCAGUGUGAACUUCACAGAUGAAGGGAAAUACCAGUGCAUUGUUACUAAUCACUUUGGUUCUAAUUAUUCUCAGAAAGCCAAAUUGACUGUAAAUGAGAUGCCGUCUUUUUUGAAAACUCCAAUGGAUCUAACUAUUCGCACUGGUGCCAUGGCAAGAUUAGAAUGUGCUGCAGAGGGGCACCCUACACCUCAGAUUUCCUGGCAGAAGGAUGGUGGCACUGAUUUUCCUGCAGCCCGAGAAAGACGCAUGCAUGUCAUGCCUGAGGAUGAUGUCUUCUUCAUUGCCAAUGUGAAGAUAGAAGAUAUGGGAAUCUAUAGCUGCAUGGCACAGAAUAUAGCAGGAGGCCUCUCAGCAAACGCCUCACUCACAGUGUUAGAGACACCCUCGUUUAUUAGGCCUCUGGAGGACAAGACCGUCACCCGAGGUGAGACAGCGGUAUUGCAGUGCAUCGCUGGAGGAAGUCCUGCUCCUCGCCUCAAUUGGACCAAGGAUGAUGGGCCACUCCUAGUAACAGAACGACACUUCUUUGCUGCAGCCAAUCAGCUUCUCAUCAUUGUAGAUGCUGGGCUAGAAGAUGCUGGAAAAUAUACCUGCCUUAUGUCUAACACUCUUGGGACAGAACGGGGACAUAUUUACUUAAAUGUCAUUUCAUCCCCCAAUUGUGACUCUUCUCAGAGUAGCAUUGGGCAUGAGGAUGAUGGUUGGACCACAGUUGGCAUUGUCAUCAUUGUUGUGGUCUGCUGUGUCGUGGGCACAUCUUUGAUCUGGGUCAUUGUCAUUUACCACAUGAGAAGGAAAAAUGAAGACUACAGCAUCACAAACACAGCUGUCUGAGUUUGAGAGUUACAGAUGUCUCUUUACAGAGGAGCUUAAUUUGCCUGCAGACAUUCCCAGCUAUUUGUCUUCACAAGGAACAUUGUCUGAACCACAGGAAGGCUACAGCAACUCUGAGGCAGGCAGCCAUCAGCAACUUAUGCCUCCUGCCAACGGGUACACACACAGAGGCACUGACGGUGGCGCUGGUACCCGGGUGAUCUGUUCAGAUUGUUACGACAAUGCCAACAUCUACUCGAGGACCAGAGAGUACUGUCCAUAUACCUAUAUUGCUGAGGAGGAUGUGUUAGAUCAGGCACUCUCCAGCCUCAUGGUCCAGAUGCCCAAGGAGACGUUUUUGUCACAUCCUCCCCAAGAUGCUGCUAAUCUGGAGAGUCUGAUACCAUCAGCAGAGAGAGAGCCGGCUGCCUUUCCCACCAACCAUGAGAGGAUGACUGAGAACCUUCCCUUCUCACAGAGGAGCAGUGAAAUAUUUCAGCGGCCUCUUUGGAACAUGAACAGAGAACUGGGCCUACUUCCCUUCUCCCAGCAGCCUGUCCUUGAGUCACCAGAGCUGACAGAGAGGGAUCCAAAUUGCUCUUCACCUGUGACUUGCCGCAGGUUACAUGACCAUGCUUUUGAUUUUAGUAGGACUCGGAUCAUUCAAGAUGGUACUGAGGGCACAUGAAGCCCGUUGAGGAGGAAGUCUGAGCAAAGACUCAAGUUAGUUAUUUACUACCUCAGAAUUGAGAAGAAAAGUCAGUAUUUGUAUUUCUCUUUGCUUCAAGUUACAUCUGACCACAUCAGCGUAGCUCUGGUGUUUGGGCUUACACCUGGCAAAGAGAAGGUAGUGGCUGACAGAAGUGUACCACAGAAAUGUGUACCACGUUGAAAGUGCACAGCCCUGGCAGAAGACAACAUGGGCAGGUGUCCUUCCUGAUCCCCACCGGGAUGUGCCCAGGCAUGCACUGCCUGUCAUGAAGAGUCAUUGCUGCUUAGCCUACUGGAUUGUUCCAGUCCUCAGAAUGGUCCUGAGAAAGCGUCUCUACUUUGAUAUCCUACUUUGCUUGGAAAAGCACAGGGCAGAGAUAUCUUCUGAGCUUUCCUAAGUAUAACAAGGAUUCUCCAGUGGUGUUGAGCAGAGAAGAGCUGCUGAGGCUUUGAUAUUCAAGGUCUUUAGCUAGAAUCUAAGUUUCACCAACUGGUAGUACCAGAUCAAAGGCUUUUGUAUUCUUUGUGUGUGUGUGUGUGGUGGGUUUGUUUUGUCUGUAUAACUGGGGAUGUCAUUGUAAAUAUAUGUGCAUUCAUAAAUAAUUUUUCUACUCAUUGACCUUGUGUGUUGGAUACAGUGUAAAUAUUUUUGAUAUGCCCAAAUUAUAUAUAAUGUCUGUCUGGUUACUGUAUGGGCAGCGGCUUCUCCAGAUCACAGAUUUUAUAUAACUUAGUGUAGUGAGGUCUGCAAACUCUGUUUAAAGUUCUAGAAUUGUGUGUUACCACGUGUAUGUAUAAAGGCAGGGUACUUAGUGAUUGUGUGCUCAUAGACUCAGUCUUGGUAUAAUUAACUGCCUGCUUCAUGCCUGAAGUUCUGUGCAUCUUGUACUUACUGUCUCUUUACAAGUGCCAGGUGAUCCUCUUGUCUUGCUCUUCCAGAGCCCAGCAGUGUUGCCACAGCCCUGUGAGCACAGAAGAUGACUUAUUUCAGCAAAAUACUUUGAUGACAAGGAAACCAAAGAUUGGCCUUUUUUAUGUUUACUCUGUUUUCAGUCUCCUUCACGAAUGUAGCAUAUUAAGAAGGGAAGUGUGCUCUUGGGAGUAGAUCACACAAAAGUUCCUGUACUCUGUCAAUUUAGUGUGGUUCUGUCUUUAUACAAGUAUUAUUUAAGCCAAACAGCUUUCUGAAUUUUUGAUAGCAAAAAGCUUUAUGUAAACAAAGAAUGUUAACACUAAUGAAAUGUCAUGUGCUUUCAGUCUGUCCUAUGAGUAUAAUACCAGCUUCCUGCUCUCAACUUUUAAAGGUGUCUAUUUAUAAGUAACUGUAUAUAUACAGAGUUCCAAACUCACAGCUUCUUAGCUUUUUGUCAGAAAGUUCAGGUGAAUUUCUGACAUUUUUUUCCCAUGCUUUUUUUUUCAAACCUAAGUUUUCUUCCUCAGACAGCAGCACUGUUUGCUUUUGAAACUUUCGCUUUUUAUUUAAACAUGUUUUCUUCAUUUCCACUUUGAACAUUUAAAAUGUAUAGUGCUCUCAUCUGUUUAGACUGUAUGCCUUCUUUUAGGCUGUAUUCCAGGUUUUUUACUGGUAUGACAAGGCAUUAAGAGCCUGCUCCCUUGGCACUGCUCGUGCUGGCUGUGUGUCUGAGUCUUACUGAUAGAAAGAGACUGUUUAUUAGCUGCUCUAAGCUGCUCUCCAGUUCCCGCCAGGAACCAAAGAGGAUUGUGCCACUUGAGUGAAGAGCUGCCUUUGUGAACUGUUAGCUAGAUCAAGGGUGAUGCUGCUCCAUCUAACUUGAGCUGUAUUUAUCUUGCCAAUACAAGACUUAACGGUCUAAGACAUGCUCAGGGGAGGAAAAAAUGUUCUGCUUCUAAACACUGUCAGUAAACAAAAAACUCACAUCCGAAUUGGAAAAGUUGUCUUUUGUCUGGAAGCUGCUGCUCACAGGAGGCUCAGGAUGGAGGUAUACAGCAGCUCAUUUAUAGCUGGCCAUCCCACUUUGUCUGUGGUCAGAGUUCUGUGCCCUCACGGAGAGCCCAGGGUAGUCAGGGUAGAGAGCAGGCCUUGACCUGGUCCUCUAGAAACACCUUACCCAAGAUAUCGCCUCCAAGCUCCAGCUGUGGCCCUUCUGCUGCGGUGUCCAUUGGAUCUCCUGAGAAUUGGGGAGAUGUUGACCUGCCUGCGCUUCCAGAUCCCUGGCUGGCCUGAGUAACUGAUUAGGAACCCAUUUACAGACGAGAAGAGCCUGCCUCUGCUCCUGAAAUAACAACAGAAGAUUCUUACCCUAGAGAAUUUGGUUUCACGUUUGACCAUAGGACUAGUGUCUGCUUAGUUAACAAAAUAAUCUUCUCUGUGUUCACAACUAAAAACAUGAAAUUAUGGCAUCAUUUUUCUGAAAAACAAAACCAAUCCUACAUUUCAGAUACAAAUGUCAGUGACAAACAAUUUAAGUAUAUGUUGUAUUAUACAUCUUUACUCUUGAUUUUAAUUUUUUUAUUUUUAGCAGCCACUGGCCUUGAACUCUCUUGUCUCUCCCUCCCAAAUGUGGAGACUAGAUAUAUCUGGCUAGAUUGAUUUUUGUUCUUGCCUAUAGAGCCAGCUGGAGUGGUAUUGGUAUUACAGUGUUCAGUUUAUAUUUUACCAAGUGUGUGAGGAUGGCCUUUUCUCAUAACACACUACAGGAGUAAGGAGUAGUAACAGGGAAAUGUGGCUGUUUCCCUCAGGACUGGGAUUCAACCAUCAGGUUCCUGAAUGCCCGGUACAUGUCCUCCCACUCAACUCAGGCCCUGUAUUUGUUCUCCUUAAGUGAGAUAUAGUUCAUCUUUGGGCCUUUUUUCCAGGCUUUUGGCAUUCCUAGGUAUUAAACCUAUAGCUUCCUAUAUACCAGGCAAGUGUUCUACCUCUAAGCUGCAGCCUCAGCUGAACUGUUGUUCAAAUUAAUGGGUGGUUAUAAGAACAAUGGGGCCAUGAAUAGUUGAGCUGUUUGCUUCUGUUAGAUCUCUUUCCCAGUCCAGUGUGGAGGUAUGCUCCCAUCUACUUUCAGCUUUUUGUUUGGAACAUGGUUAAAUAUACAGCAGUUAGUCUAGAUUUCCUCUCCUCUCCUCUCCUCUCUGCUCCUUUCCUUUCCUUUCCCCCUUUUUUUUUUUUUUUUUUUGGACAUCUGUCUGGUUCAUUGGCAGAAGUACCAAGUUCCUGAGGUAAGGCUGUAUUGGGGACAUCUGAAAAUGGAAGAAUUACUUGCAGGAUUGUGAGAAGGUGGGAGGUGAAAGGGUUGGUGUAUGAUGUCCUAGGAGUCAAGCCCAGGCAAGUGCUCUCAAGGCCGGUGUGCUGUAAGUUAGGGUUUGGAUCCUCUCCCUCUCAUUUGUAUAUUGUUUCCUCGAAGUCCUGAUAAUCAGGUGAAGAGCAGCGUGGCUUGUCUGCGCAUGUUGUUGGGUGUGAAGUGAUCUUGUAGCACCUGUAACUGUUUUCAAAGAGGAGCUGAUCUUCAGGUGGCCAAGUGUCCUUGAAGUAUUACCUGGCUGCUGGAGACGCCUCUUCACCCCUGCCUGACUUAUACUCCCUGCCACCCUCUGUUCUCUUGCCCAUUAGAGGGUGUCAGGCUGAGCAGCCCUGGUGUAAGGCGCCUCUAAAGGGAAGUACAAGCCAAGUGGUCUCAUGUGGCUGUUUCCUGGUAUCCUUUAUAUUUUCUCACAUAAGAAUGUAUAUUUUACAGAGCAUGUGUUCGUCCUGUCUACUGUAAUGUCAAUAAAGCUAAGACAUUAUGA